ACCUUAGUCCUACGCAAUUAGUGUCUCUAAUUCAAAAUAAAGUCUGAAAACCAUGGGCUAGAGAAUUCAGUGUUCACGAUAUCUAAAAAUCCAUACAUGUGUACGUCCCUGAACCUUAGAGGUCAUUGAGCUAACAGUAUUUUUUUUUUUACUUUUAAUAGGAUUGAAAUUAUGUUUUACACUAUAUCACAGAUAUAGUGCCAUUUAGAUUCUCUCUGUUGAGAAUUGGGACUGGUUUUCCUCAUUUGCGAAGUUGGCAGCUGUCCCCACUGUAAUGGUCACCGUUACAGCAAAGGUGCCCUUUCUCCCACUGCUGGCGAGCACCUGGGCCUUUGCCUCUGCCUCUCCAGGUUCACACAGCUAG
RNAcentral lists this long non-coding RNA (364 nucleotides) under Bos taurus (domestic cattle). Its description in RNAcentral is "long non-coding RNA NONBTAT024963". Lineage: Eukaryota; Metazoa; Chordata; Mammalia; Artiodactyla; Bovidae. The record is from RNAcentral.